Molecule: ribosomal RNA, 497 nt
Filed under: uncultured bacterium
Lineage: Bacteria
Description: partial 16S ribosomal RNA
Rfam family: Bacterial small subunit ribosomal RNA
Source: RNAcentral
GAUGAACGCUGGCGGCGUGCCUAAUACAUGCAAGUCGAGCGAACGGACGAGAAGCUUGCUUCUCUGAUGUUAGCGGCGGACGGGUGAGUAACGCGUGGAUAACCUACCUAUAAGACUGGGAUAACUUCGGGAAACCGGUGCUAAUACCGGAUAAUAUUUUGAACCGCAUGGUUCAAAAGUAAAAGACGGUCUUGCUGUCACUUAUAGAUGGAUCCGCGCUGCAUUAGCUAGUUGGUAAGGUAACGGCUUACCAAGGCAACGAUGCAUAGCCGACCUGAGAGGGUGAUCGGCCACACGGGAACUGAGACACGGUCCAGACUCCUACGGGAGGCAGCAGAAGGGAAUCUUCCGCAAUGGGCGAAAGCCUGACGGAGCAACGCCGAGUGAGUGAUGAAGGUCUUCGGAUCGUAAAACUCUGUUAUUAGGGAAGAACAUAUGUGUAAGUAAAUGUGCACAUCGUGACGGUACCUAAUCAGUAAGCCACGGCUAACUACGUG